Molecule: non-coding RNA, 31 nt
Filed under: Prorocentrum micans
Lineage: Eukaryota; Dinophyceae; Prorocentrales; Prorocentraceae
Also listed under: 1 other name
Source: RNAcentral
UUUUUUUUUUUUUUUUUUUUUUUUUUUUUCU